UUGGAGGGCAAGUCUGGUACCAGCAGCCGCGGUAAUUCCAGCUCCAAUAGCGUAUAUUAAAGUUGUUGCAGUUAAAAAGCUCGUAGUUGAAUUUCGGGAUUAGUAGGUUGGUCAUGCCUCUGGUAUGUACUGGUCUCACUGAUUCCUCCUUCCUUGUGAACCGUAAUGCCAUUAAUUUGGUGUUGUGGGGAAUUUGGACUGUUACUUUGAAAAAAUUAGAGUGUUUAAAGCAGGCUAACGCUUGAAUACAUUAGCAUGGAAUAAUGAAACAGGACGUUCGAUCUUAUUUUGUUGGUUUCUAGGAUUGACGUAAUGAUUAAUAGGGAUAGUUGGGGGCAUUAGUAUUCAAUUGUCAGAGGUGAAAUUCUUGGAUUUAUUGAAGACUAACUACUGCGAAAGCAUUUGCCAAGGAUGUUUUCAUUAAUCAAGAACGAAAGUUAGGGGAUCGAAGACGAUCAGAUACCGUCGUAGUCUUAACCAUAAACUAUGCCGACUAGGGAUCGGAUGAUGUUAAUUUUUUAAUGACUCAUUCGGCGCCUUACGGGAAAC
This 549-nucleotide ribosomal RNA is filed under the name uncultured Glomus. RNAcentral's name for it is "SSU rRNA". It matches the Rfam family "Eukaryotic small subunit ribosomal RNA", at positions 548 to 1098 of the family's 1831-position model. Lineage: Eukaryota; Fungi; Glomeromycota; Glomeromycetes; Glomerales; Glomeraceae. The record is from RNAcentral.